AAGAUUUUAAGUUAAAAAAACUACUGAUUUUCAAAAUCAAAAUUAAUUUAAAAUUAAAUCUUA
This 63-nucleotide transfer RNA is filed under the name Sacculina confragosa. Its description in RNAcentral is "tRNA-Trp". The record is from RNAcentral. Lineage: Eukaryota; Metazoa; Arthropoda; Thecostraca; Sacculinidae.